UGACACAAUGACAUAGAUCGAGUGGCAUUCGAUAAAGUUAAAGUGAAAUGACACUAGAGAUGGUGUGAGGUAAAGAACCAAUGUAUUGUAAAGAAUGAUGAAAAUGACAAUGUUUAAAGUUAAAGUAAUGUGGGGAGUAAAGAACAAGAAGUGCUAGAGGUAGCCAAAAGUAAAGAAUGUAAAGAAUAUAAUUGCUAGAGUUAGCAAGAGUAAUGAAU
RNAcentral lists this long non-coding RNA (218 nucleotides) under Ananas comosus (pineapple). Its description in RNAcentral is "long non-coding RNA (ACOM_LNC031591)". The record is from RNAcentral. Lineage: Eukaryota; Viridiplantae; Streptophyta; Magnoliopsida; Poales; Bromeliaceae.